AGUGAACGCUGGCGGUAGGCCUAACACAUGCAAGUCGAACGGCAGCACAGUAAGAGCUUGCUCUUACGGGUGGCGAGUGGCGGACGGGUGAGGAAUACAUCGGCAUCUACUUUUUCGUGGGGGAUAACGUAGGGAAACUUACGCUAAUACCGCAUACGACCUACGGGUGAAAGCAGGGGAUCUUCGCACCUUGCGCGAUUGAAUUAGCCGAUGUCGGAUUAGCUAGUUGGCGAGGUAAAGGCCCACCAAGGCGACGAUCCGUAGCUGGUCUGAGAGGAUGAUCAGCCACACUGGAACUGAGACACGGUCCAGACUCCUACGGGAGGCAGCAGUGGGGAAUAUUGGACAAUGGGCGCAAGCCUGAUCCAGCCAUACCGCGUGGGUGAAGAAGGCCUUCGGGUUGUAAAGCCCUUUUGUUGGGAAAGAAAAGCAGCAGGUUAAUACCCCGCUGUUCUGACGGUACCCAAAGAAUAAGCACCGGCUAACUUCGUG
RNAcentral lists this ribosomal RNA (492 nucleotides) under uncultured bacterium. RNAcentral describes it as "partial 16S ribosomal RNA". It matches the Rfam family "Bacterial small subunit ribosomal RNA", at positions 29 to 507 of the family's 1533-position model. The record is from RNAcentral.